UAGAUGUGGUUUCUCGACAUCUGUGCAGCUU
Molecule: non-coding RNA, 31 nt
Filed under: Mus musculus (house mouse)
Lineage: Eukaryota; Metazoa; Chordata; Mammalia; Rodentia; Muridae
Source: RNAcentral